RNAcentral lists this ribosomal RNA (349 nucleotides) under uncultured bacterium. RNAcentral's name for it is "partial 16S ribosomal RNA". It matches the Rfam family "Bacterial small subunit ribosomal RNA", at positions 338 to 698 of the family's 1533-position model. The record is from RNAcentral.
CCUACGGGAGGCAGCAGUCGAGAAUAAUUCACAAUGGGGGAAACUCUGAUGGUGCGACGCCGCGUGGGGGAAUGCAGGUCUUCGGAUUGUAAACCCCUGUUAUGUGGGAGCAAACUAAAAAGAUAGUACCACUAGAGGAAUAGCCUGCUAACUCUGUGCCAGCAGCCGCGGUAAUACAGAGGACUCAAGCGUUGUUCGGAAUCACUGGGCGUAAAGGGUGCGGAGGCUGUUUGGUAAGUCGUGUGUGAAAGGCGCGGGCUCAACUCGCGGAGUGCACCUGAUACUGCGAGUCUAGAGAAAUGGGGGGGGAGCCGGAAUGCUCGGUGUAGCAGUGAAAUGCGUAGAUAUC